Molecule: ribosomal RNA, 497 nt
Filed under: uncultured bacterium
Lineage: Bacteria
Description: partial 16S ribosomal RNA
Rfam family: Bacterial small subunit ribosomal RNA
Source: RNAcentral
GAUGAACGCUGGCGGCGUGCCUAAUACAUGCAAGUCGAGCGAACGGACGAGAAGCUUGCUUCUCUGAUGUUAGCGGCGGACGGGUGAGUAACACGUGGAUAACCUACCUAUAAGACUGGGAUAACUUCGGGAAACCGGAGCUAAUACCGGAUAAUAUUUUGAACCGCAUGGUUCAAAAGUGAAAGACGGUCUUGCUGUCACUUAUAGAUGGAUCCGCGCUGCAUUAGCUAGUUGGUAAGGUAGCGGCUUACCAAGGCAACGAUGCAUAGCCGACCUGAGAGGGUGAUCGGCCACACUGGAACUGAGACACGGUCCAGACUCCUACGGGAGGCAGCAGUAGGGAAUCUUCCGCAAUGGGCGAAAGCCUGACGGAGCAACGCCGCGUGAGUGAUGAAGGUCUUCGGAUCGUAAAACUCUAUUAUUAGGGAAGAACAUAUGUGUAAGUAACUGUGCACAUCUUGACGGUACCUAAUCAGAAAGCCACGGCUAACUACGUG